Molecule: transfer RNA, 77 nt
Filed under: Escherichia coli
Lineage: Bacteria; Pseudomonadati; Pseudomonadota; Gammaproteobacteria; Enterobacterales; Enterobacteriaceae
Description: tRNA-Met
Rfam family: tRNA
About the family: Transfer RNA (tRNA) molecules are approximately 80 nucleotides in length. Their secondary structure includes four short double-helical elements and three loops (D, anti-codon, and T loops). Further hydrogen bonds mediate the characteristic L-shaped molecular structure. tRNAs have two regions of fundamental functional importance: the anti-codon, which is responsible for specific mRNA codon recognition, and the 3' end, to which the tRNAs corresponding amino acid is attached (by aminoacyl-tRNA synthetases). tRNAs cope with the degeneracy of the genetic code in two manners: having more than one tRNA (with a specific anti-codon) for a particular amino acid; and 'wobble' base-pairing, i.e. permitting non-standard base-pairing at the 3rd anti-codon position.
Source: RNAcentral
GGCUACGUAGCUCAGUUGGUUAGAGCACAUCACUCAUAAUGCUGGGGUCACAGGUUCGAAUCCCGUCGUAGCCACCA